AAGGAUAAUCGGAAAGUGACAGUGCAUUAGAUUGCAAGUUCAAAUGUUCAAAGUUUUGUUUAGUUUUGAGUGUGGUACUGUAAUAGGUAUCAUGUUCAAAAGAUGAUCCUAUGGGGAAUUAGCUCAGCUGGGAGAGCACCUGCUUUGCAAGCAGGGGGUCAGCGGUUCGAUCCCGCUAUUCUCCAUAGGCAAUCGAAAGAUUGUCUUGGUUGUACAUUGAAAACUGAAUAGUAACAAAUUCUUUUAAAAGUAAUGGAAACAUUAUUCUAAAUUGAACCGAGAAACAACACAAAAAGAAGUUCUUUAAAAAGAACGGUUUAAUCGCAGGUCUGAAAAAUGACCAACUCAUAAAACGAAACCGCAACGCAAGUUGUAUA
This 377-nucleotide transfer RNA is filed under the name Leuconostoc citreum. The stretch from base 113 to 185 matches the Rfam family "tRNA". Lineage: Bacteria; Bacillati; Bacillota; Bacilli; Lactobacillales; Lactobacillaceae. The record is from RNAcentral.